Tupaia belangeri chinensis (Chinese tree shrew) is the source of this 491-nucleotide long non-coding RNA. RefSeq lists it as uncharacterized. The transcript has 5 exons. Lineage: Eukaryota; Metazoa; Chordata; Mammalia; Scandentia; Tupaiidae. The record is from RefSeq and is a predicted model, not a curated record.
CAGUCAGAGAUGGAUUCCAAGACAAAACUGUGUUUGCCCUGUUUGUGAAUGUUGAUCAUAGUUUGUGGGGCAGACAAAGGGGAGAAGGGAGUGAUGUCAGGGCAACUUUCCUCAGUAGGAGAACAAUUGCAAGUGCUGAGGAAUGAUCAACCAUGAGGUGGUCAGGAGACAUCAGAGAAGUUGACAGAGUGCAGCUGUUAUGCACUGAGGCAGUUCCUGCCUCAGCCUACCAGCAGGAACUCCAGGAGAAGUCAACCACUAUGCUAUGAAGCAGCUCAGUGAAGAGGCUCAAGUAAAGAGCCUGGAAGCUGAUCUUAGGACACUGCAAAUCUAUUACCAGUUCGAGGCUCAAGUUGAAUGCAGGACUUUUCAACUUCAGCACUGUUGACAGCUUUGACCAGACAACAUCAAGAUGAGCUGGUUUACAGAACCAGCAGCUAGCAUAAUGGCUAUGUUGCUGGAUUCCCAUGUAGCCAACUGCGGUUUGAUGC